AUCAUUUGGUACAACAGUGUAUAAAGAUCCAGAGGCCUCUACAUCUUCAUAAAACUUGAUAAAAUAAAAGUUGACAAUUCAAUAAAAUUGAAAAGGAAAUAUAAUGAAGGAAGUGUGGUAAUAAAAAAAUCUACAAAUAGCUAAAGUUUUCAGCAACAACAUUCUGUAUAAAUUCACAUGUGUAGCGAUCAUUUAUGGUGCUGUUCCCUUAACAACAG
This is a long non-coding RNA of Lucilia cuprina (Australian sheep blowfly), 218 nucleotides long. RefSeq lists it as uncharacterized. The transcript has 3 exons. Lineage: Eukaryota; Metazoa; Arthropoda; Insecta; Diptera; Calliphoridae. The record is from RefSeq and is a predicted model, not a curated record.